GAAAUGCGAUAAGUAAUGUGAAUUGAAGAAUUCCGUGAAUCAUCGAAUCUUUGAACGCACAUUGCGCCCUCUGGCAUUCCGGGGGGCAUGCCUGUCCGAGCGUCAUUACGCACCCUCAAGCCCGGCUUGUGUGAUGGGCCCCGGCGUCUCGUUCGCGAGACGGGCCCGAAAGGCAGCGGCGGCGUCGACCCGAUGAGCCCGAGCGUAUGGGGACUUCUGUCACACGUUCGCGGUGCGGACCGGCGCCUGCUUGACUUUUCUGAUUAUCCAGGUUGUCCUCGGAUCAGGUAGGGAUACCCGCUGAACUUAAGC
Molecule: unclassified non-coding RNA, 312 nt
Filed under: plant metagenome
Description: partial contains 5.8S ribosomal RNA, internal transcribed spacer 2, and large subunit ribosomal RNA
Rfam family: 5.8S ribosomal RNA (bases 1-105)
Source: RNAcentral